Molecule: long non-coding RNA, 3131 nt
Organism: Mya arenaria
Lineage: Eukaryota; Metazoa; Mollusca; Bivalvia; Myida; Myidae
Exons: 5
Source: RefSeq, a predicted model, not a curated record
CGAUGCAGGGUUCAUUGGGUUUGUUUACAAAAAUUCAAGCAUCCGGUUAAGAAGACGACAAAUAAGAAUGGUAUUAAGUUGGUAGAAUGGAACUCCUUCCUGAUUCCUGCACAUGUAAGUUACCAGAUACUCUUGAGGGACCAAUUUAAGGGCAAACAGACAAACGUUUUGAUGCAAAGAAAGCAUUGGAUUUGAAAGUUCCCAUGGAGAUGAAAAAUGGAGAGAUUCUAAAAGUAUGAAGAUACUCCUGUGUAUAAUGAGGAAAUCUUGUCAGUGAAUGUUGUUGCAAUUGUGGACCAGGCCAGAGUUGUACUAAACCAACUAAGACACAAUGAGAUACAGGAAUGACACAAUGAGAAACAGGAAACAGGAAAGUGAUGACUGAUUGCCACCUGUUACAAAUUCAUCUAGAAAACUCCUCACAUCCAACAAGAGACAGUCUGACUUCAAAAUCUUCAUUGAAGGCAACUUAAUGGACAAGACAUCCGUCACAUAAAGAUUCACUAAAAUUGGAAUGAUAUACCAAUUUUAACUUUUAACAGACAAAUACAUUAUAGAUUUGAAAAUAGAUUACCCUUAGAUAAGUUGGAUGAUUAACAUUUACCUCAACACAGUACAAAGUGCUCAUGUUGAACUAUUGUGAUUGAUCAUAGUCUGUCCUUCAUUUUUAUUAACAGUUUCAUACAGCGUUAACACUUUAGUAUGGGGACUCAUUUUUAGCUCAACUUUUCGUAGAAUAUGGAGAGCUAUACUACUCACCCAAGCGUCGGCGUCGGUGUCACCCCUUGGUUAAGGGUUUGCGUGCAAGCACACAUAGGUUAAUAUCUCAGCAACUACUUGAGGUAUUGCAUUGAGACUUUAUACAAUGGUACUCAACCAUCCAACCUACUUAUUUAAACAAGUAAGAUAACUCUAGUUUGCAUUUAAUGUAAAUAAUAGGCCUUUAUUAUUUGACUUAGAAAUUCUGGUUAAGGUUUUGCAUGCAAGCACACAUAGGUUAAUAUCUCAGCAACUGCUUGUGGUAUUGCAUUGAGACUUGAUACAAUGGUACUCAACCAUCCAACCUACUUUUUUUAAACAAGUAAGAUAACUCUAGUUUGCAUUUAAUGUAAAUAAUAGGCCUUUAUUAUUUGACUUAGAAAUUCUGGUUAAGGUUUUGCAUGGAAGCACACAUUAUAUCUAAGGUUAAUAUCUCAGCAACUGCUUGAGGUAUUGCAUCCAAGUUAUAUAACUAUAGUUUGCAUUUAAUGCAAAUACUUGCGUUUAUUAUUUCACUCAGAAAUUCUGGUUAAGGUUUUGCAUGUAAGCACACAUAGGUUAAUAUCUCAGCAACUACUGGAUGAAUUGCAUUGAGACUUUAUACAACCACCCAACCUAAUUGAAUAAUCAAGUUAGAUAAAAAUUCUGGUUAAAAUUUUGCAUGUAACCACAUUUAUGUUAAUAUCUCAGCACAUCAUGUAUUGCAUUGAAAUCUAAUCUAACAGUGAUCCAUGCAUGUUUCGCCAAAACUUUUCAAUCCUUUCACUGAAAAGCAGCGGAAUAGUCGAGAGCGCUGUCUCUGUGACAGCUCUUGUCUCUUUGGUCUUUAUUCAUACUGGCCAGAAUAUGUUUACCAAAAAAAUCUUAGUAGAGAUUGAUAACUGUUCAGGUUGGACAAAAAGCAUGUAGGUUGUUUGUUCUAAUAAUAUAAACUGUAAAUGCUUCAGAAACUAUAUAUAUAAUUUUCAUGAUAUUUGUCAGUAUUUAUUCUCGUCAACAUUUAAAUAAUAUUAGGUGAAACUUGUUUAUUGGUCAAAAUGUGUUUGAUUAGAGUGGCCUCAAGUUCCACUUUAUAUGAAUGAAAUUUGGUCAAGUUUUAGAAAAAAACUAUGUUCUAGUUUUAUAGGCCAUAUUCUCUUCCCAAGCCCUCCUUAAAGAAUGAAUGUAGGUAAGAUGAAACAGGAGUCACUAAAUCAAGUAUUAAAAGCCUUAAAAAUUGCUAUUCAUAGAGGUAUUGUUUCCUCAUCAUAAAUCACAACUUAGCCAGCAAGACUUUACAACAAAUAAGGCAUAACAUGUAAAAAGUUAAUAAUUAGGCACAUAUUUUAGUGAAUAAAAUCUUGUGAACAUAUUAUUGAAACAAGUAAUGUGUCUGGUUCUGAGGUGAGCAAUAAAGCACAUUGCUUAGUAACAAUUGAGCUAGCUCAUUAUUAAAAGUUUGUUUUAAACAUGAAUUAAAUGAAUGCAAAUCAUAUAUUAUUAUUUUUAAUCUAUAUUUUUUUUUAGUUACCUUGUUCUGUUGUUAAUUUCCAUACUGACUUGGUCAAUUAUGGCUAAUUGUCUAAUUAUAUUUUAACUUCUAACCUAAAUGUUUCAUUGUACUUUUGAGUGUUCUGUUAACUAUAAUGCACAUUAUCCUAUAUGACAGUAUAAAUUCAAUAAAACCAUGGUUAUUAAGUUCCAUACAUAUUGGAGCACAUGGUAAGCCUCUAGAAAUGUCACUUCUUAAACCUAGAUUCUUGAUCUGUUCGCCACAUUGUUUUGUUAAUUUUUUGUUUAUUAAAACAAAUGAUUGUUUAAUGUCAAGGAAACCUUUUUAAAGUUAAAAUGUAGAUGUACAUAGAUAACUGUCAAAUAUUAUUUACCAUUUAAUAACUGUCUAAAGGCAAAAUUUCCAUUCAUUUUUAUAUUUGAUUUGGGUCCCUAGGGUCAUGGUCACUGUAACUAAAAAUAGAAAAAUGCUUGGUACUGAAUAACUUCAGUUUUAAUACAUUUAAAACUGAAUCUCACAAUAAAGGCUGAAGUUCUUGUUGCAUUGCAGCAUUUCUAGUUAACUUUUUAAUUUGACUCUUUUUAUUGCUUUCGACAGGCACAUAUUACAUCAUUAUUGUAUUCAUUUUUAAGACAAAGCCUCAUUUAAUUGAGCGUGCUGUCCAAAGACAGCUCUUGUUGACAUAAUUAUAAGACACCUUAUGUUAUGGUUUAUAUGAACAAUAGCUGUUUCUGUGUAUGUUUUAGAAGAAACUUCCAUUUCUUAUCAUAUUGAUGGACAUAGAUAUACAUACAUGUACGGGAUUAUUGACAUCAGAUUCUUAGGAUUAAAUUUACUAAUGUUCUGUUCAUGUUCAAAAUAGAUACAGUUAUGGUAAAUG